AUUGAACGCUGGCGGCAGGCCUAACACAUGCAAGUCGAACGAGUGGCGGACGGGUGAGUAAUGUCUGGGAAACUGCCUGAUGGAGGGGGCUAACUACUGGAAACGGUAGCUAAUCCCGCAUACCAUCGGAUGUGCCCAGAUGGGAUUAGCUAGUGGGUGGGGUAACGGCUCACCUAGGCGACGAUCCCUAGCUGGUCGGAGAGGAUGACCAGCCACACUGGAACUGAGACACGGUCCAGACUCCUACGGGAGGCAGCAGUGGGGAAUAUUGCACAAUGGGCGAAAGCUUGAUGCAGCCAUGCCGCGUGUAUGAAGAAGGUCUUCGGGUUGUAAAGUACUUUCAGCGGGGAGGCGUUACCAGCAGAAGAAGCACCGGCUAACUCCGUGCCAGCCGCCGCGGUAAUAC
This 406-nucleotide ribosomal RNA is filed under the name uncultured bacterium. Its description in RNAcentral is "partial 16S ribosomal RNA". It matches the Rfam family "Bacterial small subunit ribosomal RNA", at positions 30 to 526 of the family's 1533-position model. The record is from RNAcentral.